UGGGGAAUAUUGGACAAUGGGGGCAACCCUGAUCCAGCCAUGCCGCGUGAGUGAUGAAGGCCUUAGGGUUGUAAAGCUCUUUCGUCAGGGAAGAUAAUGACGGUACCUGAAGAAGAAGCCCCGGCUAACUUCGUGCCAGCAGCCGCGGUAAUACGAAGGGGGCUAGCGUUGUUCGGAAUUACUGGGCGUAAAGCGCACGUAGGCGGACAUUUAAGUCAGGGGUGAAAUCCCAGGGCUCAACCCUGGAACUGCCUUUGAUACUGGGUGUCUUGAGUACGAGAGAGGUGAGUGGAAUUCCGAGUGUAGAGGUGAAAUUCGUAGAUAUUCGGAAGAACACCAGUGGCGAAGGCGGCUCACUGGCUCGUAACUGACGCUGAGGUGCGAAAGCGUGGGGAGCAAA
RNAcentral lists this ribosomal RNA (400 nucleotides) under uncultured bacterium. RNAcentral describes it as "bacterial SSU rRNA". It matches the Rfam family "Bacterial small subunit ribosomal RNA", at positions 355 to 772 of the family's 1533-position model. The record is from RNAcentral.